This 780-nucleotide ribosomal RNA is filed under the name Lactococcus lactis. RNAcentral describes it as "bacterial SSU rRNA". It matches the Rfam family "Bacterial small subunit ribosomal RNA", at positions 40 to 781 of the family's 1533-position model. Lineage: Bacteria; Bacillati; Bacillota; Bacilli; Lactobacillales; Streptococcaceae. The record is from RNAcentral.
CGGCGUGCCUAAUACAUGCAAGUCGAACGCACUCUCGUUAGAUUGAAGAAGCUUGCUUCUGAUUGAUAACAUUUGAGUGAGUGGCGGACGGGUGAGUAACACGUGGGUAACCUGCCCUAAAGUGGGGGAUAACAUUUGGAAACAGAUGCUAAUACCGCAUAAAACCUAGCACCGCAUGGUGCAAGGUUGAAAGAUGGUUUCGGCUAUCACUUUAGGAUGGACCCGCGGUGCAUUAGUUAGUUGGUGAGGUAAAGGCUCACCAAGACCGUGAUGCAUAGCCGACCUGAGAGGGUAAUCGGCCACACUGGGACUGAGACACGGCCCAGACUCCUACGGGAGGCAGCAGUAGGGAAUCUUCCACAAUGGACGAAAGUCUGAUGGAGCAACGCCGCGUGAGUGAAGAAGGUUUUCGGAUCGUAAAACUCUGUUGUUGGAGAAGAACGUAUUUGAUAGUAACUGAUCAGGUAGUGACGGUAUCCAACCAGAAAGCCACGGCUAACUACGUGCCAGCAGCCGCGGUAAUACGUAGGUGGCAAGCGUUGUCCGGAUUUAUUGGGCGUAAAGCGAGCGCAGGCGGUUUCUUAAGUCUGAUGUGAAAGCCUUCGGCUCAACCGAAGAAGUGCAUCGGAAACUGGGAAACUUGAGUGCAGAAGAGGACAGUGGAACUCCAUGUGUAGCGGUGAAAUGCGUAGAUAUAUGGAAGAACACCAGUGGCGAAGGCGGCUGUCUGGUCUGUAACUGACGCUGAGGCUCGAAAGCAUGGGUAGCAAACAGGAUUAG